RNAcentral lists this long non-coding RNA (789 nucleotides) under Homo sapiens (human). RNAcentral's name for it is "HSALNT0019427". Lineage: Eukaryota; Metazoa; Chordata; Mammalia; Primates; Hominidae. The record is from RNAcentral.
GGAAUUUCAACUUCUGAGAAGUUGAAGUAUGUACUUUUCACUAUUCUUCCCACUAGGAACAAUUAAAACCCCUGCAAAUUACAUAUGAAACAAGUUUAAGAGGACUUUGAGAGAUGAAGAAAAGCAGGCAGACCAGCCAGGGACCUUGCAGCCUGAAGAAGGACAGGAAGCUUGGUAGACACUUGUGCACUGUAUGAGUCCGUUUUCAUGCUCCUGAUAAAGACAUACCCCAGACUGAGAAGAAAAAGAGGUUUAAUUGGACUUACAGUUCCACAUGGCUGGAGAGGCCUCAGAGACAUGGUGGGAGGCAAAAAGCACUUCUUACAUAGCGGCAACAGGAGAAAAUGAGGAAGAAGCAAAAGCGGAAACGCUGAUAAACCCAUCAGAUCAGGUGAGACUUAUUCACUAUCAUAAUGGCACAGGAAAGAAGUGACCACAUGAUUCAAUUUCCUCCCGCUGGGUCCAUCCCACAACAAGUGGGAAUUCUGGGAGAUACAAUACAAGUUGAGAUUUGGGUGGGGACACAGCCAAUCCGUAUCAUGCACUGUGUACAUAAUUAGAUGUUUGACCAAAUUUUUUUAAAAAUGGCUAUACAGAGAAAGACUUGUAGUAAUUAAUCUGGUAAUUAUGAGCCCAGGUUUUAGGGUCAAAUUUCAGUGUUUAAAUCCUUGAUCCACCAUUUAACAUUUGGGCAAAUUGGGAAAGUUAUAUAACCUUUCUAACAUCUACAUUAUUAAAGUACAAUUAAUUUAAAUAAUAUUUUAUAGUCAUUAUUAUUUCAUAAUGGCC